CCAAGACACCUAGCCAUGCCACACCCACAAGGGAAUUCAGCAGUAAUUAAUAUUGAAUAUAAGCGUCAGCUUGAUUCGGUUAAAGUAAAAAGGGCCGGCAAAUACGGUGCCAGCCGCCGCGGUUACACCAUAUGACCCAAAUUGAUCCUCUACGGCGUAAAGCGUGAUUAAAGUUAAUGUAUAUUGUAGUUAAACUACUAAUAGGCUGUAAUACGCUUUUAUUUAGGAAACUCAAAAACGAAAGUUACUGCAUGUUAAACAACUUGAAUUCACAACAGUUAGGUUACAAACUAGGAUUAGAUACUCUACUAUGCCUAACUAUAAACUUUUAAUUUACACCAAAUAUCGCCUGGGAACUACGAGCAAAGCUUAAAACCCAAAGGACUUGACGGUACCCCACAUCCCCCUAGAGGAGCCUGUCCUUUAAUCGAUACUCCACGCUUAACCUCACCAUUUUUGGCUAAUCAGUCUGUAUACCUCCGUCGUCAGCUUACCACGUGAGCGACUUAAAGUAAGCUAAAUGUUUAUUUUACAUCAAUACGUCAGGUCAAGGUGCAACUAAUAAAAUGGAAAGAGAUGGGCUACACUCUCUAACAUAGAAUACACAAAAGACUAACUGAAAACUAGUUGUAAGGCGGAUUUAGAAGUAAAAAAAACUAGAGA
Molecule: ribosomal RNA, 663 nt
Filed under: Hyloscirtus staufferorum (Jondachi treefrog)
Lineage: Eukaryota; Metazoa; Chordata; Amphibia; Anura; Hylidae
Description: partial 12S ribosomal RNA
Rfam family: Bacterial small subunit ribosomal RNA
Source: RNAcentral